Molecule: non-coding RNA, 101 nt
Organism: Gorilla gorilla gorilla (western lowland gorilla)
Lineage: Eukaryota; Metazoa; Chordata; Mammalia; Primates; Hominidae
Rfam family: GRIK4 3 prime UTR element
Source: Rfam
UAGUCCCGGAGGCCACAGGACGCGCAGAGGCCGGGCGGGGCGGGAGGGGACGGGCGGGGCGGGGCGGGCGCUGCUGUCAGCCGCCAGCCGGAACUUGUACA